AAAAUUCAAAUUGUUACUUGCUUGAACAUAUCGAUUUAUACUGGAUUGUUCGGAAAGUAAUUUCGUCUUUUCACACGAGUGUCGCUAGUCGAACGUUUAUCCAGCCAACUUCGUUCUAAACCGUUUUGUUUAGAAAAUAAUUUCGUUUUUUCGCACGAGUGUCGCUAGUCGAACGUUUAUUCAGCCAACUUCAUUCCAGAGUAGAAAUCAUUGGGUUGUUCGGAAAGUAAUUUCGUUUCUUCGCACGAGUGUCGCUAGUCGAACGUUUAUCCAGCCAACUUCAUUUUAGACCGUGUUGUUAUAUAUUUUGAGAAUUGGCAUUUCAUGAUUUAUGUAUAAGAAAAAUUCGCUUGAUUCUGUACGGUUGUGUUUUUCGUGUGCGACAAAGACAAGAUGCAAGACCAAAAGGAGCAUUUUCGAUAUAUUUUACUUUUUUAUUAUGCGUGAAACUACUCGGUGUUUCGUUGUCGUAAAAAAAAACGAAAUUAUCUCGAAAAAUUCAAUCUCGUUCGAUCGAAAGAAAGAGUGAAGGUAAAGUUGGAAAGAGGGGGGAAUGGUCCCAUCUUUCCUCUCGAUGAAUAUGGGUCGCGCGAAGCGUAUCAACGAUUUACUAUCCCGCGAUUUUCUUUCAUCUGGAUUACGAGAUGUGCGUUGCACGUUGCGCGCUAUGCGUUACCUGCG
Molecule: long non-coding RNA, 681 nt
Organism: Apis florea (little honeybee)
Lineage: Eukaryota; Metazoa; Arthropoda; Insecta; Hymenoptera; Apidae
Source: RefSeq, a predicted model, not a curated record